This 225-nucleotide ribosomal RNA is filed under the name uncultured Synergistaceae bacterium. RNAcentral's name for it is "partial 16S ribosomal RNA". It matches the Rfam family "Bacterial small subunit ribosomal RNA", at positions 1159 to 1382 of the family's 1533-position model. The record is from RNAcentral. Lineage: Bacteria; Thermotogati; Synergistota; Synergistia; Synergistales; Synergistaceae.
UAAACUGGAGGAAGGUGGGGAUGACGUCAAAUCAUCAUGCCCCUUAUGACCUGGGCUACAAACGUGAUACAAUGGCUGGAACAACGGGAAGCGAGUUCGCGAGGACGAGCGGAUCCCUCAAAGCCGGUCGCAGUUCGGAUUGAAGUCUGCAACUCGACUUCAUGAAGCUGGAAUCGCUAGUAAUCGUGGAUCAGCCAAGCCGCGGUGAAUACGUUCCCGGGCCUU